Molecule: unclassified non-coding RNA, 220 nt
Filed under: soil metagenome
Description: partial contains 5.8S ribosomal RNA, internal transcribed spacer 2, and large subunit ribosomal RNA
Source: RNAcentral
AACGCACGAGACCUGCGGACCUGCGGAGGGAUCAUUACAGAGUUGAAAAACUCCCAACCCUUUGUGAACCUACCUCUUUGACUGUUGCUUCGGCAGGCGGCCCCAGGGCGGGGCUGUAGCCUGAUUCUCAGGUGCCUGCCGGAGGUAUCAAACUCUAUUUUUAAUAGUAACGUCUGAGUAAAUAUUACAAAUAAGUCAAAACUUUUAGCAAUGGAUCUCU